Molecule: ribosomal RNA, 497 nt
Filed under: uncultured bacterium
Lineage: Bacteria
Description: partial 16S ribosomal RNA
Rfam family: Bacterial small subunit ribosomal RNA
Source: RNAcentral
GACGAACGCUGGCGGCGUGCCUAAUACAUGCAAGUUGAGCGCUGAAGGUUGGUACUUGUACCAACUGGAUGAGCAGCGAACGGGUGAGUAACGCGUGGGGAAUCUGCCUUUGAGCGGGGGACAACAUUUGGAAACGAAUGCUAAUACCGCAUAAAAACUUUAAACACAAGUUUUAAGUUUGAAAGAUGCAAUUGCAUCACUCAAAGAUGAUCCCGCGUUGUAUUAGCUAGUUGGUGAGGUAAAGGCUCACCAAGGCGAUGAUACAUAGCCGACCUGAGAGGGUGGUCGGCCACAUUGGGACUGAUACACGGCCCAAACUCCUACGGGAGGCAGUAGUAGGGAAUGUUCGGAAAAGGACGAAAGUCUGACCGAGCAACGCCGCGUGAGUGAAGAAGGGUAUCGGAUCGUAAAACUCUGUUGGUAGAGAAGAACGUGAGUGAGAGUGGAAAGCUCAUCAAGUGACGGUAACUACCCAGAAAGGGACGGCUAACUACGUG